This 512-nucleotide ribosomal RNA is filed under the name uncultured bacterium. RNAcentral's name for it is "bacterial SSU rRNA". It matches the Rfam family "Bacterial small subunit ribosomal RNA", at positions 34 to 518 of the family's 1533-position model. The record is from RNAcentral.
CGCUGGCGGCGUGCCUAAUACAUGCAAGUCGAACGGUCUUUCUAUGGAAGCUUGCUUCCACUGAGAGGAUAGUGGCGAACGGGUGAGUAACACGUGGGUAACCUGCCCAUAAGAGGGGGGAUAACAUCCGGAAACGGGUGCUAAUACCGCAUAGUUUUCUUGAUCGCAUGAUCGGGAAAGGAAAGACGGCCUUUGUGCUGUCGCUUAUGGAUGGACCCGCGGCGUAUUAGUUAGUUGGUGAGGUAACGGCUCACCAAGACGAUGAUACGUAGCCGACCUGAGAGGGUGAUCGGCCACAUUGGGACUGAAACACGGCCCAAACUCCUACGGGAGGCAGCAGUAGGGAAUCUUCCGCAAUGGACGAAAGUCUGACGGAGCAACGCCGCGUGAGUGAAGAAAGGUUUUCGGAUCGUAAAACUCUGUUGUCAGAGAAGAACAAGUUGGAGAGUAACUGCUCCAGCCUUGACGGUAUCUGACCAGAAAGCCACGGCUAACUACGUGCCAGCAGCGGC